CAUUAUUGAAUGUUAAGAAGUUGUAGCUGACCUGUUAAAGGGUAUGUGCUCGCUUCUUUCAAUCUCUUACCACCUGUGCACCUUUUGUAGUCUUGUAUACAUUUCAAAAUCGUUAUACUCUUUACGGAGUGUGAUGAGUUUGGUUAGGGGAGUUGUUGGUUACGCAAGUGAUCAGCUCUUCCUGUCUUAUUCAAGGCUAUGUUUUUUACAUACCCCACUAUAAUAACUAAAGAAUGUUUACUAGUCUUGCCGUCAAAAAGCAGACUUAUUUUAAAAUACAAUUUUCAACAAUGGAUCUCUUGGCUCUCGCAUCGAUGAAGAACGCAGCGAAAUGCGAUAAGUAAUGUGAAUUGCAGAUUUCAGUGAAUCAUCGAAUCUUUGAACGCACCUUGCGCUCCUUGGUAUUCCGAGGAGCAUGCCUGUUUGAGUGUCAUUAAUCUCUCAACCUUGCCAGCUUUAUUGUUGUUGCAAGGCUUGGAUGUGAGGGUUUGCCGGCUCCUUUGUUGAGUCAGCUCCCUUUAAAUGUAUUAGCGGAACCUCUGCGAACCAUCAUUGGUGUGAUAAUAUAUCUACGCUAUUGAUGCAAGCCUCCUUUAUUGGAGUUGGAUCAGCUUCUAAUCGUCUUCGGACAACGUAUUGAUCUUUAUUGAUUGAUAUAUUUUGACAACUUGACCUCAAAUCAGGUAGGACUACCC
Molecule: ribosomal RNA, 695 nt
Filed under: uncultured Basidiomycota
Lineage: Eukaryota; Fungi; Basidiomycota
Description: eukaryotic LSU rRNA
Rfam family: 5.8S ribosomal RNA (bases 280-433)
Source: RNAcentral